Long non-coding RNA from Limulus polyphemus (Atlantic horseshoe crab), 251 nucleotides. RefSeq lists it as uncharacterized. Lineage: Eukaryota; Metazoa; Arthropoda; Merostomata; Xiphosura; Limulidae. The record is from RefSeq and is a predicted model, not a curated record. The transcript is spliced from 2 exons.
AGGCUGUUUGGUACAACAGGACUUUGUUCAGCCUGUAAUAAAACCAUCCCAGCGUUUGAGAUGGUCAUGAAAGCUGGGAGUAAUGUCUACCAUCUUGACUGCUUCGUUUGUCAGUGCUGCAAUCACAGAUUUUGCGUGGGAGACAAAUUUUACUUGAGCAACGGGAAAGUACUUUGUGAAUAUGAUUACGAAGAAAAAAUUUUAUUCGCCAACCUUCCGUACACAGGUGAUAGUCUCUCUCAACUGAAGAA